CAAAUUGAGAGUUUGAUCCUGGCUCAGGACGAACGCUGGCGGCGUGCCUAAUACAUGCAAGUCGAGCGAGCUGAAUUCAAAGAUCCCUUCGGGGUGAUUUGUUGGACGCUAGCGGCGGAUGGGUGAGUAACACGUGGGCAAUCUGCCCUAAAGACUGGGAUACCACUUGGAAACAGGUGCUAAUACCGGAUAACAACAUGAAUCGCAUGAUUCAAGUUUGAAAGGCGGCGUAAGCUGUCACUUUAGGAUGAGCCCGCGGCGCAUUAGCUAGUUGGUGGGGUAAAGGCCUACCAAGGCAAUGAUGCGUAGCCGAGUUGAGAGACUGAUCGGCCACAUUGGGACUGAGACACGGCCCAAACUCCUACGGGAGGCAGCAGUAGGGAAUCUUCCACAAUGGACGCAAGUCUGAUGGAGCAACGCCGCGUGAGUGAAGAAGGUUUUCGGAUCGUAAAGCUCUGUUGUUGGUGAAGAAGGAUAGAGGCAGUAACUGGUCUUUAUUUGACGGUAAUCAACCAGAAAGUCACGGCUAACUACGUGCCAGCAGCCGCGGUAAUACGUAGGUGGCAAGCGUUGUCCGGAUUUAUUGGGCGUAAAGCGAGCGCAGGCGGAAUGAUAAGUCUGAUGUGAAAGCCCACGGCUCAACCGUGGAACUGCAUCGGAAACUGUCAUUCUUGAGUGCAGAAGAGGAGAGUGGAAUUCCAUGUGUAGCGGUGGAAUGCGUAGAUAUAUGGAAGAACACCAGUGGCGAAGGCGGCUCUCUGGUCUGCAACUGACGCUGAGGCUCGAAAGCAUGGGUAGCGAACAGG
Molecule: ribosomal RNA, 806 nt
Filed under: Lactobacillus delbrueckii subsp. bulgaricus
Lineage: Bacteria; Bacillati; Bacillota; Bacilli; Lactobacillales; Lactobacillaceae
Description: bacterial SSU rRNA
Rfam family: Bacterial small subunit ribosomal RNA
Source: RNAcentral